Molecule: unclassified non-coding RNA, 283 nt
Filed under: Hevea brasiliensis (rubber tree)
Lineage: Eukaryota; Viridiplantae; Streptophyta; Magnoliopsida; Malpighiales; Euphorbiaceae
Source: RNAcentral
CCCGUCCUUUGCCCCGGCGAAUCCGUAUCGUAUGCUUCUCUCUCUAAAAAAAGCUCUCUUCCUCCCUCUAAAAGUAUUGAUUGUCUCUCUCUUGUGUAGCCUCAAUUCUCUGUCUCUCUCUUUCUAUUUAUUUUCAUUUGUUGGCGUGUGUUCGUGUUUCCCUCUUUUCUCUCUCUUCCUCGUAUCUCUCAUAUCGUUCUUCUGCUUCUAUGCCCUAAUUUCUCUGUAUAUCUCUACCCACUGUUUUUUUCUUUCAGUCUCUUAAAAUCUGGUAAUACACCAC